GCUUAGCAUGCACCUUUUUCCAUGUGUCGGAAGGUAACCUCUCGAUACGGUGUCGAAGCAUCACCUAAUCAUUCUCAUUGAACUCUUGGUACCUACGAUGAACAUCUGCAGCAGACUUAUAAUUUUCAUUGUACAAAUUAAUUUUUUGUCUUAUCUCAGCAUGCAAAUCAUGAAUGUGUCGUGCAAAAGUUUUAGCAGACUCACUAGAUCUAUAAGUAGGGGGAAGAGAAACUAGGUCAAUAGGUUUCCUAGGCUGGUAACCAUAGUAAAUCUAAAAAGGACUCGCCCCAAUAGAGCGAUUAACCGAACUAUUAUAAGAAAACUCAGUCAUAGAUAAGACUCUAUCCCAACUAGACACAUGAUCUCCUAUAAGGCAUCUCACCAAAUCACCUAGACUCCUAUUAACUACCUCAGUUUGACCAUCAGUCUGUGGGUGAUAGGCAGUGGAAAACUUAAGUGUGGUAUUUAGUUUCUUCCAUAGGGUUUUCCAAAAAUAACUCAUGAAUUUAACAUCUCUAUCAGAAACUAUAGACAAAGGCAAACCACAUAGCCUUACAACCUCACUAAAGAAAAUUGAUGCAAUGUGUGAAGCAUCAUCAGUUUUGCUGCAUGGAAUAAAAUGUGCCAUUUUAGAAAAACGGUUCACUACAACAAAAACAAAAUCAUGACCUCUAGGGGUCCGCGGUAACCCCAAGACAAAAUUCAUGCUAAUAUCCUACCAAUGAGCAUGGGGUACAGGCAAAGGCAUAUAUAACCCCGUGUUUUGCUUCCUACCCUUAGCAGUUUAACAUGUGCGACACUCGAAAAUAAUACGAGCUACAUUCCUCUUGAGGCUAGGCCAAAAGAACAUAUCCUCCACAAUCGCAAUGGUCUUAUAGCGACCAAAAUGACCUGCAAUCCCUCCCGCAUGUAACUCCCAAACUAGAUGGUUAUGCAUAGACGUGCUAGGAAUACACAAACGGGUGCCCUUAAAAAGAUACCCAUCAUGGAUACAAAAAUCGCCUGAGGGUGGUAUAUUAGAAUUUUGUAGGGCAAUAUAUGUCUCUCUAAAGUCACGACAAGAAGGGUAUUCAUGGAUAAUACGCUCAAACCCAAUAACCUUCACACUCAAAGUGUUAAGGAGAAUAGAUACCCUACUCAACGCAUCAACGGUUUUGUUCUCUACCCCUCGACAAUGCUUUAGAACAAAAGAAUAGUCCUGAAGAAACUCAACCCACUUAGCGUGUCGAUGACUCAACUUAUUCUGGGAGUUUAUAUACUGAAGUGCCUAAUGAUCGGAGUAUAGCACAAACUCCUUAGGCAACAAAUAGUGUCGCUAAUACCUAAGCGCCUGAACUAACACAUAAAACUCUCUAUCAUAGGUAGAAUACCUUUGUCGGACCUCAUUUAGCUUCUCACUAAAGAAUGUAACAGGAUGACCCUCUUGACUAAGUACUUCCCCUAUUCCUAUGCCGGAAGCGUCACAUGCUACCUCAAACACCUUGCUAAAAUCUGAUAGCGCGAGGAUAGGUGUAUGCAUUAACUCGUCCUUAAUCACCUCAAAGGCUUUGGCAGCCGAUUUAGACCAAACAAACUCCCCUUUCUUUAAGCAAUCGGUGACGAAGCCAUAAUAGUACUAAAUCCCUUAAUGAACCUCCUGUAAAAAGUAGCAAGUCCGUGGAAGCUUCUAGCUUCAUGUAUAUUAGAAGGUUCGGGCCACUCUUUAAUAGCCUUUACCUUUUGAGGGUUAGCAGAAACCCCAUCUUUGGAGACAACAAACCCAAGAAAUAUGACGGAUUCUUGCACGAAAGAACAUUUUUUCAUAUUAAUAUAAAGUUUCUCACGCUGGAGAGCAGAAAAAACUUGGCGCAAGUGAAGUAAGUGUUCCUCUUGAGUGUGACUAUAGAUGAGGAUGUCAUUGAAAUAGACCACUACAAACUUGCCAAUAAAGACCGCAACACCUGAUUCAUGACUCUCAUAAAGGUGCUAGGUGCAUUUGUUAGACCAAAGGGUAGGACUAACCAUUCAUAACGGCCAUCACUAGGCUUAAAGGCAAUAUUCCAUUCGUCUCCCUCGCAGAUGCAGACUUGGUGAUAUCUACUCCGUAGAUAUAUCUAUUUUGGUGUACACAAGAGCUCCGCUCAUCAUAUCUAACAUGUCAUCAAGCCUAGGUAUAUAGGAAACCUAUACUUAAUGAUGAUUUUAUUGAUAAAAACUUCCAUCAGCCGUUUGGGUAAACAAAGUUGGCACUGCACAAGGACUAAGACUUUCAUGCACAAAACCCUUACUCAACAAAUCACCUACUUGGCGUCUCAUCUCCUCUUGGUCAACCUAUAAUGGGGUAGGUUAGGUAAAGAAGACCCUGGUACAAGGUCAAUAGCAUGCUAGAUAUCCCUAAGAGGUGGUAAUCCGAUAGGUAACUCACUAGGCAUCACAUUAGCAAACUCAUGGAGAAUCUGCCUAACAUCACUAUAUUCGACAUUACUACUCUUCUCAGGAACAUCCCUAACCUCUCGUACACAACCUUCUCCUCUCUCACACUCUUCUCAAAGGUCUUCUGACUAAGAAUAUGAAGAUAUUUGGAUUCUUGUAUAGACAUAUUAUUUUCUUUUGGUUGACCAUUGGGAGACGCUCGUGGUCUCACAGGCACUAAAGUAAUCUUUUGCCCCUUGUGUGAACACAUAAGUAUUCGAUUUCCCAUAAUGGGUCACAUCAUGAUCAUAUAGCCAAGGUCGCCCUAAAAGAAUGUGUGCAAAAUCCAUCGGAAGAACAUAACACCAAACUUUUUCCUCAUAUCCCUUAAGGUGGAUCGGCACUAGACACCUAUGUGUCACAGGAAUAGACAGUGUUCUAAAAGUCGCUAGUCGGUCCCAGGUCGGUUGGCUACUGACUAGGGGAUUAGUCGGGGAUUAAUCGGCUAGUCGGAUUUUCAAAUUUUAAAAAAUAUAUAUAUAUAUUCUCCUUCAUCCUUCAUAAGUUUUGAGUAAGUAGAAUAACAUAAAUAACACAAAUCAUCAAAUAAAAACAUGGAAACUAAGUAAAACCAAAUAGUUCAACGCUCUAAGUUCAAAACCAAUUAACCAAAAUGAAACUAAGUAGCACAAAAUCAUUAGUCAAUCACUCCUCUUCUCCAUAUCCCUCCAAGACUUGCUCUCCAUCGGACUCAAACUCAUAAUCCUCAUCUUCCUCUUUGUUGUCAUCAUCUUCCGACAUAAACUCGUCUUCAUCUAGUUCUCACACAUUUCUACUUCUUAUAGGUAGAAAGACCUCAUUCGCUCCCAUUUUUUUCGAUUUUUUCCUACUUCUUUCGAUUUUCCCCGACUUGUCCCGAUUUUUUAAUUUACUCCAACUGGGCGACUUUCCCGACUAGUCGACUUUACCGAAUAGUCGCCGACUAGAGCUCGACUAAGUCAGUCAACGACUAAAUCAAAGGACUAGGCCCUAGUCGACUCGUUGAGGCUCCGACCCCGACCUAGUCACUGAGUCGGUCGACUUUUCAAACACUGGGAAUAGAUGUCUUAUUAACCCAAGCAAUAUUAUAAGGUUGGGGUGUGUGAUUCUGCCUUUAACUUCAAUCAUUCCACAGCUGUCUUGGCAACCACAUAUAAACAACUUCCCCCAUCAAUGAUUAGCUUGGAAGAGAUUCCACCACCUCUGCUAUAUGUUUGAAAUAUAGCAGUUCUCUUCCAAUCUUUCUCCUUUUUAGGACUAGCGAAAAUGCACCUCAUAACAUUCAAGGGUUGGUCAAUUUGUUCAAGGUGCGCAUCCGUUUCUUCAUCCUCCGUGUAAUAUUCAUCCUCCACUUCACCUUCCCUUGGCGCAUUUUCUUCACCUUGCCCUUCAAGAACCACUCCCACUCGGUGUUUGUUAGGGCAAACUUGUGGCCAAGCACUUUGCAGGAGAAACACAUAUCCCUGCCAGUGAUUGUAGGCUUGGGUAUGGAGUACCCUUCCUUAGUCUAGGGUCCCAAUUUGGUCCACUCACGGUGUUAUUAGCCCUAGAAGUAUCUUGAGGUGUGGAAAAGGACAUGUCAUGAGCAGUCAUGUCGGCGGCUGACUUUGUUGCUGAUGACGACGAAGAGAAAGGUGCAGUAGGUCUGGUUCGGUGUAGGUAGCAACUUGACGAUUUUUGUGCGAGCUUCUGACGAUGAACAGUGUUGUCGAAGCGACUCCCAAGGUUAGGCUUUGAUACCACAAAUGAUGUAGGACAACUUUGUAAGAUGGAUUUAGUAUUAAUUGAUAGAUAAAUAAAACUAGAAUCUAAGCUCUACGCUUAAAUUCUAGGGUUUAGAGUUUCAACUCAUCAUCUAUAAACUCUAGAAAGAUAUCUCCACGAUAUAAGAAAAGAUAAUAAUAAUUGUAAUAUUCAGAAUGUCCUCCCAAUGAGAAUUACAUCGGUAUUUAAACAAAACAGCCCUAAAUUAAACUUGGAGACCAAAAAGACAAAAAUACCCCAACUAAUUAAAACAAGUUACUAAAAUAUCCCAACUAAUUAAAACAAGUCCAUAAUAAUGAAAUAAACAAAAUAAAUAAAUAAGUCAACUAAAUCAUCGAUCCCCAUCAAGAACUCUCUCUCCUAAAAAUAUCUCCAAAUCUGCUUCCUCAAAAAGAACUCACCAACAAAAAUGUAACACUAUAUAACAUCUAGCUCUCCUACUCUUGGGAACUCUCACACCCUUCCAAGCAUCCCAAAAAAAGCUACAACUGACCUCGGCAACACCCACUAAAUCCCAAACAAUGAAAAAAAACAUCUUCCAAGUAUAACUAAAAAAAUCACAAUGUAAUCACAAGUGGUCACCAAAUUCGCAAUCCCCUUUGCACAUAAAACACCAACUAAUUAAAAAUUACCCCUUCUCCUACAUGAAUCCUGUGUAGAAAUAGCCCCAAAAGCAGCUGCCUGCUGCUGUCCAACAGAGGGGGGGGAGGCAGCCUUACGUGGAACACCCACGUGCCAAAUGCUUUUCCAAGGGAAAUUUCUCUCUACAGGAGUUUUGAUGUUCUCAUCUCAUGCCAAAUUUAGUAUGUCACGUGAUGCAAGGACUAUUAGAUUCAAUUAUUUUUUCCGCUUAAUAAGUUAUUUAAUUAAACAUAAAUGAUACGUUUGUAAAUUUGAUUAUUGACUACAUAAAUGUUUUACGUCUUGAAUACAAAUAGAGGGACAUGAACCCUACGAUACACUAAACGAGACUAGAUUAAUCAUGAAACUACUAAGUCUAUGUGUGUACAAUACUAACAAUUCACACUUAUAUUUAAUAAAACUAUGAAGCAAAAGCCCUAUUGCUGAGAUACAUCAGCAACCACAUAAUCCGCAUCAAGUACCAAAAUCUUUUAAAUGCCACACACUCUUUACUUUUAAUAAGAUUUAUACAAUUUCCAGUCAUGGAUUAAGAUUCUGAAGGAUAGAACAAAACUCAGCUAUUCAUCAAAGACUUUCCAACAAUAAAUAGUCCCGGCUAGUCAGAACUAUGAUAGUGAUAAUUCACAAUUUCACAGUCAAAUUUCCAUAUACAUAAAUUGUAAUUCUACUUAGGGAUAGGAUAAAUCAUUUUUAACAGCACUGAAUUUAAAUAAAGUAAUCACCUUUUUGUUCAAAUUAUAAUCAAGAGUCGAGAACAAGAAUUAAAAGGUAUCGUUCAUAAAUCAACAGAGCAGUUAACAAUGUACCUGAUAGUGAUAGAAACAGAAUUGGGGUUUCCAAAUCCACUAGAUAUAUUCAAAUCUCAGAAUGAACCAAAAAUCAAGAAGGAAACUAAAAAGAGCUCAAAUUAAUUAAAAUUGAAAUAUGUCAUUUCAUUUACAAACUUUAUAGAAUAUGGCUAUUUGUAUAUAUAGAUAAAAAGAAGAAAUUUGUGAUUAGAAACAGAUGAAAGAGACCUUUUAGAGAAGCCCUAAUAGCUAAAACCCUUGAAGAUAUCAGGGAGAGAGGGGGAAGUGACCAACAGUGCCUCUUGUUCUGACACUUUAAAAUUUCAUAUUCCGUUUCCUACGCGAGUUCUUGUC
This 5978-nucleotide long non-coding RNA is filed under the name Panax ginseng (ginseng). RNAcentral describes it as "long non-coding RNA (PGIN_LNC005192)". The record is from RNAcentral. Lineage: Eukaryota; Viridiplantae; Streptophyta; Magnoliopsida; Apiales; Araliaceae.